This 4748-nucleotide long non-coding RNA is filed under the name Sus scrofa (pig). RNAcentral's name for it is "lncRNA (ENSSSCG00040002717.1)". The stretch from base 2 to 117 matches the Rfam family "JPX transcript, XIST activator conserved region 1". Lineage: Eukaryota; Metazoa; Chordata; Mammalia; Artiodactyla; Suidae. The record is from RNAcentral.
GAGACCUAAGAUGGCGGCGUUUGCAUAAUAUGAAAGCGAUGCAGGCGUACCAGAUUGGAGAGGCAGGCAAAGGAUGUAUCUGCUAAGGAAGGUUCGGGAACUCGCCAAUACUUGUGGCCUCUCUAUUCCCUGAAAAACAAUAAUGAAGUUAGGCCAGUGAAUACCCUACAGUGGUUCAAGUGAAAGGAGGAAAAAUCACACAUCUCUCACUUUAAAUCAAAGGUAGAUCACAUCCAAAAAAUAAAAUACCUAGAAUAAACCUACCAAAGGAGGCAAAAGACCUGUAUUCCAAAAACUCUUAAGAAGCUGAUGGAAUAAAUUGAAGAUGACACAAACAGAUGGAAGAAAUACCAUGUUCUUGGAUUGCAAGAAUCAGUAUUGUCAAAGUGACCAUACUGCCCAAGACAAUCUAAAUUUUCAGUGCAAUCCCUAUCAAAAUUAUCAAUGGCAUUUUUCUCAGAAGUGGAACAAAAUUUUUAAAAAUUUUAUGGAAACAUAAAAGACCUUGAAUAGCCAAAACAAUCUUGAGAAAGAAGAACAGAACUGGAGGAAUCGUGCUCCUUGACUUCAGACUAUACUACAAAGCUACAGUAUUCAAAACAGAAUGAUAUUGGGAGGAUGGAACCAGACAUAUUAUAGAUCAAUGGAUAGAAAGCCCAGAAAUAAACCCAUGCCCUUUGGUCAAUUAAUCUACAACAAAGGAGGCAAGAACAUACAAUGGAAAAAAGACAGUCUCUUCAAUAAACCAUGCUGGGAAAAUUGGACAGCUACAUGUGAAAGAAUGGCACAAUGAAUUAAGUAUACAGUGUUGUCACUGCAGCGUCUCAGGUCACUGCUGUGGCGUGGGUUUGAUCCCUGGCCUGGGAACUUCUAUAUGCCAUGGGUGUGGCCAAAAAGACAACCAAAAUCCUCCCAAAUAACCAUGAGAUACCACUUCAUACUGUGCCUAUAAAAUGGAAAAUAACAAAUGUCAGUAAUGAUGUGGAAAAGUUAAAAUUUUUGUUCCUUUCGGAGUUCCUGUCAUGGCUCAGUGGUUAACGAAUCCAACUAGGAACCAUGAGGUUGUGGGUUUGACCCCUGGCCUCGCUCAGUGGGUUAAGGAUCCAGCGUUGCUGUGGCUGUGGUGUAGGCUGGUGGCUACAGCUCCGANAAAAAAAAAAAAAAAAAAAAAAAAAAAAAAAUUGUUCUUUUUAUGGGGGACAUCAAACAGUGAGGCUACUGUGAAGAACAGUAUUGUAGUUCCUAAAAAAUUUAAAUAGAGAAUUUUUGUGACCCCAGUUCCAUACCAUGUAUAGUCCUAAGUUAAAGGAAUAAUGUUCAAGUAAACAUUUUGUAUGGAAAUAUGUACAGCCACAACUAUUUGCCAUAGGCAAAGGGUGAAAUUGUUUCAAAUAUCCAUGAGUAGAUGAAUGGCUAAAGAAAGUGGUAUAUUCAUAAAAUGCAGUAUUAUUCAUCCAUAAAUAGGAAUCAAUUACAGAUACAUAGUAUGUCAUGGAUGUUCAUCUUAAUCAUUGUGCUAAGUGAAAGAAACCAGACACAUAAGGGCCUUAUUCUAUUUACAUGGAAUAUGAAGAAGAGGUAAAUCGGUAGGGGCAAAGCAGAUUAGUGGUUGUCAGUGACUAGAGAGGGUACAGGGAAUGGAGAAUGGAGAAUUUUGACCAUAGUGAUGAUUGCACAAAGGCCCCUGAAUUGUAUUAAAAUGGUGAGUUUCAUGUAUGUGAAUUUUACCUCAUUUUUAAAAAUAAAGGAAUUAAUCAUUUAAAAAAAAUAGGUGGUGGGCAAGAUAUAGCUCCCUGGGUAUAGUUUAUUGACUCUUGGUAUUGUUUAUUCAUGGCUAUUUGCAUUGCAACAUAUUUAUUACAAAUAUUUUUUAAUGAGACAGUCUAAAGACAUAUUUAGAAUGUAGUAGGAUAUAAGUUGUCACAAAAUGCUGGCUUUCAAAAUUUAUAUACAAAUCAUUAGAAUCAAUAUGCUGUUAGCCCUGUAGAGGAUUGGCAAAGACUUGAGCAUGUCCCACAUAAACCACAGUGGUAGGUCCUCAAGUUCAUUUGGCAACAGAGAAACAGCAAAAAUUAUAAGCAGUCCUAAUGUAUACUUUCUAGAAUGGGUCCAAUAAAAUGGAUUGAGGAUUCUAAAUAUUGGUGAGUAUUUUACUAACCAGUAUCUUUCACACAGGGAUGGUGUGAGUAUAAUUGGGGAUAGUCACAUUGGAAAACUUUUCAUGAUACGCCAUAAUACUGAACAUGCUCAUAUUUUCUGACUUAGAAAUUUCACUACAGUGUAUAUGCUUAUAAAGAUUGAUGUGUAUAUGUUCCCUAAAGACAUGUUAAUGUCUGUAGCAUUAUUAUUCUUAAUGGCUCUAAGCUGGAAAACAUGCAAAUGACUGUCAACAGAAUAGACACAUCAAUGGUAGUGGUGUUUCCUUUUUGUGGAUUACUACACAUUAUUGAAAUAGAACGAACUGCAACUACAUGUUAUGCAGCUAUCUCCUAUUAUUUUCAGCAAAGGAGCAGAAUGUAUUAACCAAAAGUUGGAAUAGUGGUUCAUCUGGGUAAAAAUGUAAUUAAUUAUAGCAGUGCACAUGUCACUUUAAUGAUGCUAAUAAUUUUUUCAAGUUUGUUAAAUUAUUCUUUGUGUACGUAUAUAAUUUAUACAGUCUUCUGUGUAUCAUAUUUUAUAAUAUAAUAAAAAUAAAAUUUCACUCAAAUACCAAUUUUUGAGGAUCCUUCUCAGGAUGUAUGGGUAUACCUUGGAGAUAUGUGGGUUCAGUUCCAGACAACCACAGUAAAGUAAAUAUCACAAUAAUUUGAGUUACAUGAGUUUUGUUGAUUUACUAGUGCACAUAAAAGUCAAGUUUGCACUGUACUGUAGUUUCUUCUGUACAAUAGCAUCAUGUCUAAAAAAAAAGUACAUACCUUAAUUUAAAAAUUUUUGGAGUUCCUGUCGUGGUUCAGUGGAAAUGAAUCCAACUAGGAACCAUGAGGUUGUGGGUUCGAUCCCUGGCCUCCACUCAGCUGGUUAAGGAUCUGGUGUUGCUGUGAACUGUGGUGUAGGUCGCAGACGUGACUCGGAUCUGGUGUUGCUGUGGCUGGCAUAGGCCAGCAGCUACUGCUCCAAUUAGACCCCUAGCCUGGGAACCUCCAUAUGCCGUGGGUGCGGCCCUAAAAAUGACAGAAAUGAAAAUUCAUUGCUGAAAAAUGCUAAGCAUCAUCUGAGCCUUUAUCAAGUUAGUCGUGACAUCAAAAAUUACUGAUCAUCCUAAGAAAUAUAAUUGCAAAAAAGUUUUAAGUAUAUACUUCUGAAGUUUCUCCUAAUGGCAUACAGCAAAUGAUGAAAUACUUAAGAGUUUUCUUGAAACUGAAGAGCAAGAUUGUGUGACAUUCAAACUACCACUCACUCAUUCUUCCCAUUUCAACUCAUUAGGAUGACUCUACUCUAAGUAUUGGAGCCAAAAAUAAAAAUAUCUCUGUCUUUUAGCUAGCAGUUCAGGUCUGAAGUCCAGAAAGGGAUGAUGCCAAAAUUUCUUAUUCUCCAGCUCAGUUUUGUAGAUCCUCAGUUCCACACAAUUGCAGCUAACAGGAUGAAGAUUUAUUCCUCUCCUCCCCACUCAGACACAUUGAAUAGGAGCUCUUCCUCAGGUUUAGUAUCCUUAGAAUACUGAACCCCCUGUCUUCACCGUAGGUCAUUUGUACCUUUGAAGUUCCAUAUUAGGUGGGGCAAAUUGAGAACACAGCAAUCCCCCAGUUUAAUACUUAAAAAUCUGUAUUGUCACUUUGAGGACAGGUUGUCACUAUCUCUCUAGCUCUUUGGAUCUGGGUGACAGAUUCUGUUAAGUAGGACAGGCAGAACAUAAAAAUAGAGAGCCCUGAAGCCCUCCCUAAUGCACCUACUUUUAUUUUAUUUUAUUUUACUUUAUUAUUUUACUUUUAUAUUUUUAUAACUGCACCUGAGGCACAUAAAAGUUCCUGGGCUAGGAGUUGAAUUGAAGCUAUAGCUGCAGGCCUAUGCCACAGUCACAGCAAUGUUGGAUAUGAGCCACAUCUGCAACCUCUGCCACAGCUUGCGGCAGUGCUGGAUCCUUAACCCACUGAGCAAGGCCGGGGAAUUGAACCUGCAUCCUUAUGGACACUAUGUUGGGUUCCUAACCCACAAUGGGAACUCCCUAAACUACCGUUAUUUUAAAGAGUAUGGUGACAUUGAAGCCUAUGGGCAAACCCCGAAAUGGUAGAUAUUUCAGUAGUAAGUAAUUAGAUAGCUGGUACUUCAUGAGCGCAACUUGCCUAACUGUAGGCUAGCUAAUUUUCCACAGAGAACCAUGAAAAGCAUUGAGAGCAUUCCUUUUGUCUGAACAAAUACUGGCAUCACUCACUACCACUGCAGUGGGCCUGAAUUUAACUGUAUUAGGAUAUUUAGUAAUAUAUGUUAUAAAUCAUAGAAAAAUGAACUUGUAUUUAGUGUAGCCAACAGCUCAAUUUGUUCAAGACUAGAGACCACUUGACUCCUUGUAUAUUUGUCAUUCCAGGAUAACUGGACAUUUCCAGGGCUAAACCCUCUGAGAAGCAAUAUCAUAAGCUUAACAUUGUGUGAGAAAUAGACUUCAGUAAGAGUCCAAUGAAUCACUAAACAUUAAAAAUUUAACUGAUAACUACCAUCCCUGGAGUUGUGCUUAACUAGCCAAUAUUGCUACCAUCAUUUAUGUCUUUUUUCCAACUGCAAAAAAAAUUGAGACAUGCAAAAAAAAAAAAAAA